AUGCCGCAGCAGCCCRGCGCGCACGUCCUCGCUCGCCCCGCUUUACUUCCGCUCCACUUGCGCCCAGCACGACUGCCCGCCGCGCUCGGCUGCAGCCCCGCGGGCGCCGUCACAGCACCGAGGCUCGCUCGCCGCUCGGGGCGUCACCGCGGCGCAGCCCCUUACCCCUUUGGGGUGGGUGACGGCCGUCUGCGUGAGCGCGUCCCUCUGCUCCGCCGGCCCCACGCCGGGCAGCAGCCGCUGGUUCUCCUGCCAGUCGCGCAGCUGCAGCGAGAGCGCCUCGAUGAUGAUGAGGGUGCUCUCCAGCCGCCCCUCCAGCUCCGCUCGCGGCAGGGACUUCAGCUGCUCCCGGGGACAGCUAGGGAAGGAGGGACUCCUGAGGGCCCCGAGCAGGGGCACCCCACGGGCGGGUGGCCCGGCCAAGAGGGUCACUCCAGGACGGCACGUCCCUGGACCCAUCGCUGCACGGGGACUUACUGCCAGAGCAGAGAGUCCGUUUCGGCAGCGCUGUCCUUGGCGCGAGCAGGCGCUUCUGCAGAUGUGUUCGUGCUCCUCUCCAGCAGGUCCCGCGGGGUCAUGAAGGUCCCGGUGGCCACGGUGGGCACGGGGGUGACGCUGGUACCAGCGUCCUGCUGCAGCACGGGCAGGGGCAGGCUGUGCCGCAGGGACUCCAGCAGGGAUGAGGCGUUGAGGCUCUUCUCCAGCCACACCAGUGGCAUCACCCAGGACACGGCACCUGGUGCCAGCUUGGGCGAGGGUACAGGGGUGGCCGCUGGCUCUGGCCCUGGAGGCUCCAACCCGCCUGCCUUGGUGGGAGAGGGCCCAGGGGGGUCCUGUCCUGGUGGGGAGGGGGUCAGGGAUGUUGCUCCCCCGGGGGUGCCUUCACAGGGUGGGGGACCAGCAUCCCCGUCACUGCCUGGGGGCUCGGGUGCCACCGGGCUGCAGGAGAGGUUGGUGGGUGCCGUGGGGCUGCAGGAGAGGUCGGAAGGUGCCGCUCGCCACCCAUGGAAGGGGGCUUCCUGCGGGGUGGAGCUGGUGCCGGGGGGCCCCGGGGUGCAGGACGCUGGGGUGGCAUUGCCAGGGGAGCCCAGCAGGGUGCUGCUGCGGGGCCUUGGGGUGCAGGGCCCUGAGGGGGUGCUGCUGGGGGGCUCCAGGUUGCAGGGCCCCAGGGGGGUGCUGCCAGGGGGCUCCAGGGUGGCACUGCCAGGGGGAUCCGGGGUGCAGGGCCCCAGGGGGGAGCUCUCAGGGGGCUCCAGGCUGCAGGGACCUGGGUUGGUGCUGCUGGGGGGCUCUGGGGUGGCACUGCCAGGGGGGUCCAUGGUGCAGGGCCCUGGGGGGGAGCUCUCAGGGGCCUCCAGGACCCUGGUGCUGCCUAGGGGCUCCGGGGUGCAGGGCCCUGGGGUGGCACUGCCAGGGUGCUCUGGGGUGGUGCUGCCAGCAGGCUCCAGGGUGGCACUGCUGGGGGGCUCUGGGCUGCRGGGCCCUGGGGUGGCACUGCCARGGGGGGGCUCUUGGGCCCUGGUACUGCCAGGGGGCUCUGGGGUGCACGGCCCCCAGGUGGUGCUGCCGGGGGGCCCCGGGGUGCAUGGCUCUGUGGUGAUGCUGCCAGGGGGCCCCGGGGUGCACGGCCCUGGGGUGAAACUGCUGGGGGGCCCCGGGGUGCACGGCCCCGGGCUGGUGCCAUCAUGGUCCUGCAGGACACAGUGGGGGAGGACGUCAGGACUGCCCCAACCCCCCCCCAGUUGCCCCCCC
Molecule: long non-coding RNA, 1752 nt
Filed under: Apteryx haastii (Great spotted kiwi)
Lineage: Eukaryota; Metazoa; Chordata; Aves; Apterygiformes; Apterygidae
Description: lncRNA (ENSAHAG00000014103.1)
Source: RNAcentral